GGUAUUGAAAUAAGAUUUUAAAUGAGUGCUAAGAGAAUGAUUAAACAAUUAAAAGCUUUCUUUAAUUAAAAAGUUAAAUUUAAUUUUUUUAGUGCAAAAGCAAAAAUAAAAUUUAGGGACAAGAAGACCCUAUGAAUUUUUAUUGUUAAUAAUUAAAAUUUAAGUUAUUAAUAAUUUAAUUGGGGCGAUAAAAAAAGAAUAAGUAUCUUUUUAGUUAUAAAAUAAGUUCCGUUUUUAGCGAUUAAAUGAAAUAAAUACUCUAGGGAUAACAGCGUAAUAAUUUUGGAUAGUUCAUAUAGAUAAAAUAGUUUGCGACCUCGAUGUUGGAUUAGGAUUCUUUUUUGGUGAAGAA
Molecule: ribosomal RNA, 352 nt
Filed under: Ixodes scapularis (black-legged tick)
Lineage: Eukaryota; Metazoa; Arthropoda; Arachnida; Ixodida; Ixodidae
Description: partial 16S ribosomal RNA
Source: RNAcentral